This 819-nucleotide ribosomal RNA is filed under the name uncultured Actinomycetes bacterium. RNAcentral describes it as "bacterial SSU rRNA". It matches the Rfam family "Bacterial small subunit ribosomal RNA", at positions 335 to 1167 of the family's 1533-position model. Lineage: Bacteria; Bacillati; Actinomycetota; Actinomycetes. The record is from RNAcentral.
ACUCCUACGGGAGGCAGCAGUGGGGAAUAUUGCACAAUGGGCGCAAGCCUGAUGCAGCAACGCCGCGUGAGGGACGACGGCCUUCGGGUUGUAAACCUCUUUUAGUAGGGAAGAAGCGAAAGUGACGGUACCUGCAGAAAAAGCACCGGCUAACUACGUGCCAGCAGCCGCGGUAAUACGUAGGGUACAAGCGUUAUCCGGAAUUAUUGGGCGUAAAGAGCUCGUAGGCGGUUUGUCGCGUCUGCUGUGAAAACUGGAGGCUCAACCUCCAGCCUGCAGUGGGUACGGGCAGACUAGAGUGCGGUAGGGGAGAUUGGAAUUCCUGGUGUAGCGGUGGAAUGCGCAGAUAUCAGGAGGAACACCGAUGGCGAAGGCAGAUCUCUGGGCCGUAACUGACGCUGAGGAGCGAAAGCAUGGGGAGCGAACAGGAUUAGAUACCCUGGUAGUCCAUGCCGUAAACGUUGGGAACUAGAUGUAGGGACCAUUCCACGGUUUCUGUGUCGCAGCUAACGCAUUAAGUUCCCCGCCUGGGGAGUACGGCCGCAAGGCUAAAACUCAAAGGAAUUGACGGGGGCCCGCACAAGCGGCGGAGCAUGCGGAUUAAUUCGAUGCAACGCGAAGAACCUUACCAAGGCUUGACAUAUACCGGAAAUGGCUGGAAACAGUCCCCCCGCAAGGUCGGUAUACAGGUGGUGCAUGGUUGUCGUCAGCUCGUGUCGUGAGAUGUUGGGUUAAGUCCCGCAACGAGCGCAACCCUCGUUCUAUGUUGCCAGCACGUAAUGGUGGGAACUCAUAGGAGACUGCCGGGGUCAACUCGGA